Molecule: non-coding RNA, 233 nt
Organism: Salmo salar (Atlantic salmon)
Lineage: Eukaryota; Metazoa; Chordata; Actinopteri; Salmoniformes; Salmonidae
Source: RefSeq, a predicted model, not a curated record
GGUGGGUGUGUCUGGACACGUCUGGAUGAGGUGGGUGUGUCUGGACACGUCUGGAUGAGGUGGGUGUGUCUGGACGAGGUGGGUGUGUCUGGACGAGGUGGGUGUGUCUGGACGAGGUGGGUGUGUCUGGAUACGUCUGGACGAGGUGGGAGUGUCUGGAUGAGGUGGGUGUGUCUGGACACGUCUGAAUGAGGUGGGUGUGUCUGGAGAUGGGCAGGCGAGGAGGGGAUGGC